AUGAACGCUAGCUACAGGCUUAACACAUGCAAGUCGAGGGGCAGCAUGGUCUUAGCUUGCUAAGGCCGAUGGCGACCGGCGCACGGGUGAGUAACACGUAUCCAACCUGCCGUCUACUCUUGGACAGCCUUCUGAAAGGAAGAUUAAUACAAGAUGGCAUCAUGAGUCCGCAUGUUCACAUGAUUAAAGGUAUUCCGGUAGACGAUGGGGAUGCGUUCCAUUAGAUAGUAGGCGGGGUAACGGCCCACCUAGUCUUCGAUGGAUAGGGGUUCUGAGAGGAAGGUCCCCCACAUUGGAACUGAGACACGGUCCAAACUCCUACGGGAGGCAGCAGUAAGGAAUAUUGGUCAAUGGGCGAGAGCCUGAACCAGCCAAGUAGCGUGAAGGAUGACUGCCCUAUGGGUUGUAAACUUCUUUUAUAAAGGAAUAAAGUCGGGUAUGGAUACCCGUUUGCAUGUACUUUAUGAAUAAGGAUCGGCUAACUCCGUGCCAGCAGCCGCGGUAAUACGGAGGAUCCGAGCGUUAUCCGGAUUUAUUGGGUUUAAAGGGAGCGUAGAUGGAUGUUUAAGUCAGUUGUGAAAGUUUGCGGCUCAACCGUAAAAUUGCAGUUGAUACUGGAUAUCUUGAGUGCAGUUGAGGCAGGCGGAAUUCGUGGUGUAGCGGUGAAAUGCUUAGAUAUCACGAAGAACUCCGAUUGCGAAGGCAGCCUGCUAAGCUGCAACUGACAUUGAGGCUCGAAAGUGUGGGUAUCAAACAGGAUUAGAUACCCUGGUAGUCCACACGGUAAACGAUGAAUACUCGCUGUUUGCGAUAUACAGCAAGCGGCCAAGCGAAAGCGUUAAGUAUUCCACCUGGGGAGUACGCCGGCAACGGUGAAACUCAAAGGAAUUGACGGGGGCCCGCACAAGCGGAGGAACAUGUGGUUUAAUUCGAUGAUACGCGAGGAACCUUACCCGGGCUUAAAUUGCAGAUGAAUUACGGUGAAAGCCGUAAGCCGCAAGGCAUCUGUGAAGGUGCUGCAUGGUUGUCGUCAGCUCGUGCCGUGAGGUGUCGGCUUAAGUGCCAUAACGAGCGCAACCCUUGUUGUCAGUUACUAACAGGUUCCGCUGAGGACUCUGACAAGACUGCCAUCGUAAGAUGUGAGGAAGGUGGGGAUGACGUCAAAUCAGCACGGCCCUUACGUCCGGGGCUACACACGUGUUACAAUGGGGGGUACAGAGGGCCGCUACCACGCGAGUGGAUGCCAAUCCCCAAAACCUCUCUCAGUUCGGACUGGAGUCUGCAACCCGACUCCACGAAGCUGGAUUCGCUAGUAAUCGCGCAUCAGCCACGGCGCGGUGAAUACGUUCCCGGGCCUUGUACACACCGCCCGUCAAGCCAUGGGAGCCGGGGGUACCUGAAGUGCGUAACCGCGAGGAGCGCCCUAGGGUAAAACUGGUGACUGGGGC
RNAcentral lists this ribosomal RNA (1448 nucleotides) under uncultured organism. RNAcentral's name for it is "SSU rRNA". It matches the Rfam family "Bacterial small subunit ribosomal RNA". The record is from RNAcentral.